This 453-nucleotide ribosomal RNA is filed under the name Lactobacillus crispatus. RNAcentral's name for it is "partial 23S ribosomal RNA". It matches the Rfam family "Bacterial large subunit ribosomal RNA", at positions 305 to 761 of the family's 2925-position model. The record is from RNAcentral. Lineage: Bacteria; Bacillati; Bacillota; Bacilli; Lactobacillales; Lactobacillaceae.
ACUGCGACGUGGCAGAGUAAGCGAUUGUUGAAUUAUCUGGGAAGGUAUGCCAGAGUGGGGCAGCGGCCCGUAAGCGAAAUCUCAAGCUGGCCUAGCAGACUCCUGGGUUGGCCGGGACACGAGGAGUCCCGGCUGAAACCGCGCAGACCAUCCCGCCAGGCUAAAUCCUCGUUAGUGACCGAUGGGGGACCAGUACCGUGAGGGAAAGGGGAAAAGAACCCCGGAAGGGGAGAGAAAAAGAACCUGAAACCGUGUGUCUACAAGGAGUCAAAGCACAUUAAAGUGCAAAGGCGUUACUGUAGUAGAAUGAACCGGGAAGUUAAGUUAUAUUGCAAGGUUAAGUCAGAAAAGACGGUGCCGGAGCGGAAGCGAGUCUUAAUAGGGCGAAACGUUAGGUGGCGUAGACCCGAAACCAAGUGACCUACCCAUUACCAGGCUUAAGGUGUGGUAGUC